CCAAAGUGCUGGGAUUACAGUUGUGAGCCACUGUGCCCGGCCUAGCAAGAUCACUUUUUAAGUAUCCAGAAAGCUCUUUCUUAUGUUGAAUUAUGUCCAGAGGCAUAACUAGACUGAAGGUUUAGACUCCAUUCAUUCUCCUAUGUUUUUGUUCUUAACUGCAUUCUGCAGUCAAAUCAGGAGCUUUAGAAAAUACUGAUGCCUGGCUCUCAACCAGAGAGAACUGAACUGAAUUGGUCUGGUGAAUUCAUUAAAAGAGCUAACAACAAUGAAGUUAAUGUACGCAUCUCACCUCUCAAGAGUAUUAACAGGCCAGGCGUGUUGGCUCAUACCUGUAAUCCCAGCACUUUGGGAGGCCAAGGCGGGCGGAUCACCCAAGAAUGGGAUAACUGCCUGGCACUCACCAAGCUACACUUGAAGAGGAUCAAUCCAUGUCAUCAUGUCCCCAAUUUCAUAGCACCAAGUAUUUUGUUUAUUCACAAAUGCCCUAUUAUGGACAUCUAGCAAACAAUGAUACAUCAGAAAAGGAGAUGUGCAUAAAUUUUCAUGGAAUAAGGUUGUGGAAAAUGCACUAGAAUCAACAAACAUGGGGACUAAUUCAACUCGGAUAUCAUGUCUUCAGAGAAGUUUCUCCUGCCCUCCUCUCCCUGUAGAAUUAAGUAUUCUUCCACUGUGCCACCCUCUAACUUGUGCUCAUAUCUUCCUCUAUUGUAGUUAUGUGUUCACAUCCCUGUUGUUUUUGUACCGGCUUCUCCCAAAGGGAGACAUUUAGUCUUAUUCUUCUUGGUAACUUUAGCACAGACCUGGCAGAUUGUUGACACUCAACAAAUGUUUAUUGACUCAAAUGCAUUCAGUUGAACAUUGACCUUUGAUCAACUCUGGGAAAAGUCUGCAAAGCUAGUUAGGACAUUCAGAAAUUCAUUUCAUUUCAAUCCUAACUAAAUAAAUUAUUGAAGUCUCAGAACUUCUCAGUACUUGAUUUAGACACAUAGAAACUUGGGUAAAUAACA
This 1010-nucleotide long non-coding RNA is filed under the name Homo sapiens (human). Its description in RNAcentral is "PREDICTED lncRNA (TCONS_00172391)". Lineage: Eukaryota; Metazoa; Chordata; Mammalia; Primates; Hominidae. The record is from RNAcentral.